CGGACGGGUGAGUAACGCGUGGGGAACCUGCCCUGUACCGGGGGAUAGCAGCCGGAAACGGCUGAUAAUACCGCAUAAGCGCACGAAUGUCGCAUGACAUGGUGUGGAAAACUCCGGUGGUAUAGGAUGGACCCGCGUCUGAUUAGCCAGUUGGUGGGGUAAAAGCCUACCAAAGCGAAGAUCAGUAGCCGAGUUGAGAGACUGACCGGCCACAUUGGGACUGAGACACGGCCCAGACUCCUACGGGAGGCAGCAGUC
RNAcentral lists this ribosomal RNA (258 nucleotides) under uncultured bacterium. RNAcentral describes it as "partial 16S ribosomal RNA". It matches the Rfam family "Bacterial small subunit ribosomal RNA", at positions 99 to 355 of the family's 1533-position model. The record is from RNAcentral.